This 111-nucleotide small nuclear RNA is filed under the name Nelumbo nucifera (sacred lotus). The record is from RNAcentral. Lineage: Eukaryota; Viridiplantae; Streptophyta; Magnoliopsida; Proteales; Nelumbonaceae.
GUUUCAUGAUCUCUUUGGAAACAUCUAAUAAAAUUGGAAUGAUACAAAGAAGAUUAGCAUGAUCCCUACGCAAGGUUUGCAACAAGGAUAUACUAUCUUGCCUCCGCUCUU